This is a long non-coding RNA of Patella vulgata (common limpet), 453 nucleotides long. RefSeq lists it as uncharacterized. The transcript is spliced from 3 exons. The record is from RefSeq and is a predicted model, not a curated record. NCBI's taxonomy places the organism in Eukaryota, Metazoa, Mollusca, Gastropoda, Patellidae.
AAAUCCUGAUAUUCAGUCAUUUCCGUCUGUGUCGACAUACUUCAUAUCGUUUUUGUUCUGAUACUUCAGCCAUACUAUAAAUUCUGCCAAUGAUCAGAAAGUGUCAAGAUGUUGAAACAGAUUAUAACCGUGUUAUUAUUGAUGACCCUGAUGUCUGUUGUUUUAUCACAGUUCUUUCACCGCAGAGGUAUGCAGAUGCAACCACGCCCAUUCGGAGGAAUGAAUUAUGGAAAUCCUUUUUAUAAUAUGAUGUUCUGGAGUAUGAUGGGGGAUGGUUUUAAUACAUAAAUAUCUACAUAGUUACCUAGACAACAAAAUGGUAUCGCUACGUCAACAGGGGUCAUGCUUACCAAAACAACGACACAUUAUAAUCAACAGAAAGCCUAUAUUAAACAAAUUACAAACGAAUUAAUUUAACAGUAAUCUGGAAUCCGAACAUUAAAGAACUUUUUU